RNAcentral lists this long non-coding RNA (475 nucleotides) under Malus domestica (apple). RNAcentral's name for it is "long non-coding RNA (MDOM_LNC009250)". The record is from RNAcentral. Lineage: Eukaryota; Viridiplantae; Streptophyta; Magnoliopsida; Rosales; Rosaceae.
GAAGUAUAUAUCCUAUAUAUGGGUAAUUGAUAACAUCCAACGAACUAAAUCUUAUUCAAGUUCGUUCUUCUCUUGAUGGAGAAAUCCAUUAUCUUUUGAUGCUUCUUUCCUUGAUAUUUUUCAAGGAAACUAUUCUAAAGUGUUAUCUUUCCUUGGAUCAAAUCUAAGGAGGUAAAUACUUUAGACGUCUUACUCAUCAACUUACAUUUCUUGAAUUCUUUGAAACCUUUUGCAAAGUAUUCGGACUUGUGUUUAUUCAAAAUAAACUAUAGUCCAACCGAGAGCGAUCUUCGGUGAAGGUCAUACAACAUGAGUAGUAUUAUGUUGUGGACAAGUGCCACUAACAUCUAAGUGAAUUAACCUCAACAACUUUGUGAUUCUUUUUUCUUUCCAAAAGAAUAAAGAUUUGAACAUUUCGCCUCUAUACAAUUUUAAUAAGAAGGUAUUGGAUCCGGAUCUAACGAUCCAAAGCAUC